This 249-nucleotide long non-coding RNA is filed under the name Lonchura striata (white-rumped munia). RNAcentral's name for it is "domestica (Bengalese finch) lncRNA (ENSLSDG00000004731.1)". The record is from RNAcentral. Lineage: Eukaryota; Metazoa; Chordata; Aves; Passeriformes; Estrildidae.
GUAGUGCCCACAUACACUGAGCAGUGCAAAGGCUCCAGCUGGGUGGUUUGGAGCUGAGGAGGCUCUGGUGCUGAAAGGUGCUUAUCCCAUCUCCUGAGAGGAAACUCCCCAGAAGCCCCAUGCGAGUGGUGCCUAUUGUUUCCAUGAGCGGAGCCUCCUCUCAGUAAGUCCCUGGUUUUUGUCUUGCCUGUUGAUUUUCCCACAUCUCUCCUGAGCUCCCACAAUUCAUGCAGAACUCCUUGGGACUCU